RNAcentral lists this ribosomal RNA (279 nucleotides) under uncultured Glomeromycotina. Its description in RNAcentral is "partial 18S ribosomal RNA". It matches the Rfam family "Eukaryotic small subunit ribosomal RNA", at positions 813 to 1092 of the family's 1831-position model. The record is from RNAcentral. Lineage: Eukaryota; Fungi; Glomeromycota.
AAUAAUGGAAUAGGACAAUGGUUCUAUUUGUUGGUUUCUAGGACCGUUGUAAUGAUUAAUAGGGAUAGUUGGGGGCAUUAGUAUUCAAUUGUCAGAGGUGAAAUUCUUGGAUUUAUUGAAGACUAACUACUGCGAAAGCAUUUGCCAAGGAUGUUUUCAUUAAUCAAGAACGAAAGUUAGGGGAUCGAAGACGAUCAGAUACCGUCGUAGUCUUAACCAUAAACUAUGCCGACUAGGAAUCGGGCGAUGUUGACAAAAUGACGCGCUCGGCACCUCAUG